RNAcentral lists this unclassified non-coding RNA (525 nucleotides) under uncultured Glomeromycotina. RNAcentral describes it as "SSU rRNA". It matches the Rfam family "Eukaryotic small subunit ribosomal RNA", at positions 571 to 1092 of the family's 1831-position model. The record is from RNAcentral. Lineage: Eukaryota; Fungi; Glomeromycota.
CACCGCGGUAAUUCCAGCUCCAAUAGCGUAUAUUAAAGUUGUUGCAGUUAAAAAGCUCGUAGUUGAAUUUCGGGAUUGACACAUCGGUCGUGCCUUAAGGGGUAUGAACUGGUGUAGUCAAUUUCUCACCUUCUGGAGAACCACGAUGCCCUUAAUUGGGUGUCGCGGGGAACCAGGACCUUUACUUUGAAAAAAUUAGAGUGUUUAAAGCAGGCAUUUUGCUUGAAUACAUUAGCAUGGAAUAAUAAAAUAGGACGGCAUGAUUCUAUUUUGUUGGUUUCUAGGAUCACCGUAAUGAUUAAUAGGGAUAGUUGGGGGCAUUAGUAUUCAAUUGUCAGAGGUGAAAUUCUUGGAUUUAUUGAAGACUAACUACUGCGAAAGCAUUUGCCAAGGAUGUUUUCAUUAAUCAAGAACGAAAGUUAGGGGAUCGAAGACGAUCAGAUACCGUCGUAGUCUUAACCAUAAACUAUGCCGACUAGGAAUCAGACGAUGUUAAUUUUUUAAUGACUCGUUUGGCACCUUACG